This 726-nucleotide ribosomal RNA is filed under the name Streptomyces sp. YIM 100338. RNAcentral's name for it is "bacterial SSU rRNA". It matches the Rfam family "Bacterial small subunit ribosomal RNA", at positions 59 to 801 of the family's 1533-position model. Lineage: Bacteria; Bacillati; Actinomycetota; Actinomycetes; Kitasatosporales; Streptomycetaceae. The record is from RNAcentral.
CAGUCGAACGAUGAACCACUUCGGUGGGGAUUAGUGGCGAACGGGUGAGUAACACGUGGGCAAUCUGCCCUUCACUCUGGGACAAGCCCUGGAAACGGGGUCUAAUACCGGAUACUGACCCUCGCAGGCAUCUGCGAGGUUCGAAAGCUCCGGCGGUGAAGGAUGAGCCCGCGGCCUAUCAGCUUGUUGGUGAGGUAAUGGCUCACCAAGGCGACGACGGGUAGCCGGCCUGAGAGGGCGACCGGCCACACUGGGACUGAGACACGGCCCAGACUCCUACGGGAGGCAGCAGUGGGGAAUAUUGCACAAUGGGCGAAAGCCUGAUGCAGCGACGCCGCGUGAGGGAUGACGGCCUUCGGGUUGUAAACCUCUUUCAGCAGGGAAGAAGCGAAAGUGACGGUACCUGCAGAAGAAGCGCCGGCUAACUACGUGCCAGCAGCCGCGGUAAUACGUAGGGCGCAAGCGUUGUCCGGAAUUAUUGGGCGUAAAGAGCUCGUAGGCGGCUUGUCACGUCGGUUGUGAAAGCCCGGGGCUUAACCCCGGGUCUGCAGUCGAUACGGGCAGGCUAGAGUUCGGUAGGGGAGAUCGGAAUUCCUGGUGUAGCGGUGAAAUGCGCAGAUAUCAGGAGGAACACCGGUGGCGAAGGCGGAUCUCUGGGCCGAUACUGACGCUGAGGAGCGAAAGCGUGGGGAGCGAACAGGAUUAGAUACCCUGGUAGUCCACGCC